Long non-coding RNA from Rhincodon typus (whale shark), 1933 nucleotides. RefSeq lists it as uncharacterized. Lineage: Eukaryota; Metazoa; Chordata; Chondrichthyes; Orectolobiformes; Rhincodontidae. The record is from RefSeq and is a predicted model, not a curated record. The transcript is spliced from 3 exons.
GCAGUAUCAGUGAAGAGAAAUCAGAGUUAACGUUUCGGGUCGAGUGACCCUUCCGGAGAACAAGGAAACUCGGAACGGUUCUCAGUACUCAGACUGCGCCACUCAGCCCGGUGACCGCCUCCAGCCGCAGUGCCGGCUCUCUGUGCCCCGGGGACCCCGGCUCACCUCGAUCAGGCCGCGGUUUAAUGGCUUCCCCGAUCUGUGAAUCAGGAUAAGGAAAAGAAAUGACUUUUUUGGAUGAGGUCACAAAAUCCAAGGAGGAUUCCUGGAAUGUCGACAUUAUGGCCAAUUGACACAGAUUUUCUCCAGCCAUCAACUGAACAACUUCACAAUCCAGCAGGCACUUGACCGAAGAUUCACAGAAUGUGAACAUCACUAGCAAUGCCAACAUUUGUUGCUCGUCCCCAAUUGCCUUAGAAAUGGUAUGGUCAACCAUUAUGGUGGUGAAGGUAUGCUGUUACAGAGUUCAAGGUGUUCAAUGUGGCUGGUACAAGUUCGGAGAAUGAUGGGCUACUUCUUGCUUGCCUGGCAAUGUUGAAGAAGCUCUACACCAUCUAGGAAAAGGAAGCAUAUUUGAUUGAUGGUUGAUAGGAUGUCAAAAACAUUUAGUUCUUUCACUGUGCCUGCAAUGCAUACCAUCAAUGAGAUACAUUGAGCAACUCACCAACAUUUCUUCAAUAACAUCUUUCAGAAACACAAUCUCCGUAGUCAAAAAGGACAGGAGCAACAGGCACAUGGGUGCAUCACCACCUCCACGUUUCCCUCCAAGACAGUGUAACUGCACAAUGAGAUUACUUUCAUCACUGGCCUGGUAGCUCAGUGGUUAGCACUGCUGCCUCACUGCACCAGGGACACGGGUUUAAUUCCAGCCUCGGGCAACUGUGUGUGUGGAGUUUGCAUAUUCUCCUCAUGUCUGUGUGGGUUUCCUCCAGUGUCUUCCGGUUUCCUCCCAUAGUCCAAAGAAGUGCAGGCUAGGUGGAUUGGCCAUGGGGAAUGAAGGGUUACAGGAAUAGGGUAGGGAGGUGGGCCUGGGUGGGGUGGUCUUCAGAGGGUUGGUGUGGACUUGAAAGGGCAAAUGGCCUGCUUCCACAGCAUGAGGAUUCUAUGAUAAACACUUGAUUGGUUGUUUCUUCUUGGUGGCUUUGGAUUAUGAGCUUUUAAAAUUAAAUAUAGUGAUUUGAUUGCUCAAUUCUUUAUGGCUCAUUCAUUGACUAAAUCAAUUUGCUUUUGCUUUGUUCAGGUUUAGCAAAUAAUAAGUCAAGACCACAUUUUAGCCAAUCACAAUUCUUCACUCAACAGAUAUGGGGUGCUAAAGUGCAACAGCUGAAAUAUGACAAUAGUGAAAUGUGAUGCAUUAAUUGUGUGGCAUGUAACACGAUGGCUGCACUAGACGUUAAAUGUUCACACCUCAUAGAUAUAUGGCAACUUUUCUCCUGAAAGUGACCAAAGGAUAGGACUAUUGAAAUAAAACCAGAUUAAUGCUGGAAUUACACUACAGGUCAGGCAGAAACUCAAGAGAGAACGCUUCAAUGUUGAAAUCUUAACUGUUUCUGACCUUGGAUAUUCCCCUUCACUAUUAAGUAUGUCUAAUAAUUUCCGACUUAGUUUCCGAAUUUCAGCAUUUGCAUCUCUUUGAGGCCAACGAGGGAUAGGCUGAUAUAUAAAUGUGCAAUCAGAAAGUAUUGAAACAGCAACAUUUGGAUAUAAAAUUCAUAGGUUCCCAUGAGGAAAGUAUGUAGCAAAUGUAUGCAAAAAUUUAUUUUCACUUUCUAUCUUUAUUCUUGUCUUUCGGAUCAAUUCCCAGAAAGUGAAAUAUCACUGGCAAUGUCAACAUUUGUUGCCUCCUGGAUGAUGUGGUCAUUCAUAGUGGUUAUAGAAUCAUCAAUAGAAUCUGUAGAAAAUGGAAGCAAACUAUUCGGCCCAUCAGGUCCAC